GACGAACGCUGGCGGCGUGCCUAAUACAUGCAAGUCGAGCGGAUUGAUGGGAGCUUGCUCCCUGAUAUCAGCGGCGGACGGGUGAGUAACACGUGGGCAACCUGCCUAUAAGACUGGGAUAACUUCGGGAAACCGGAGCUAAUACCGGAUAAUCCCUUUCCUCUCAUGAGGAAAGGCUGAAAGAUGGUUUACGCUAUCACUUAUAGAUGGGCCCGCGGCGCAUUAGCUAGUUGGUGAGGUAACGGCUCACCAAGGCAACGAUGCGUAGCCGACCUGGGAGGGUGAUCGGCCUCACUGGGACUGAGACACGGCCCAGACUCCUACGGGAGGCAGCAGUAGGGAAUCUUCCGCAAUGGACGAAAGUCUGACGGAGCAACGCCGCGUGAGUGAUGAAGGUUUUCGGAUCGUAAAACUCUGUUGUUAGGGAAGAACAAGUACGAGAGUAACUGCUCGUACCUUGACGGUACCUAACCAGAAAGCCACGGCUAACUACGUGCCAGCCGCCGCCGUAA
RNAcentral lists this ribosomal RNA (512 nucleotides) under uncultured bacterium. RNAcentral's name for it is "partial 16S ribosomal RNA". It matches the Rfam family "Bacterial small subunit ribosomal RNA", at positions 28 to 523 of the family's 1533-position model. The record is from RNAcentral.